Molecule: ribosomal RNA, 427 nt
Filed under: uncultured prokaryote
Description: bacterial SSU rRNA
Rfam family: Bacterial small subunit ribosomal RNA
Source: RNAcentral
CUAAGAAUCUUCCGCAAUGGGCGAAAGCCUGACGGAGCGACGACGCGUGGACGAUGAAGGCCGAAAGGUUGUAAAGUCCUUUUCUCUGUGAAGAAUAAGGGUGGGAGGAAAUGCCUGUCUGAUGACGUUAGCAGAGGAAUAAGCCCCGGCUAAUUACGUGCCAGCAGCCGCGGUAAUACGUAAGGGGCGAGCGUUGUUCGGAAUUAUUGGGUGUAAAGGGUGCGUAGGCGGUUUGACAAGUCUGGUGUUGAAGGCUACAGCUUAACUGUGGUUUGGCGCUGGAAACUGUCAGACUUGAGUUUAGGAGGGGGAUCUGUAAUUCCAGGUGUAGGGGUGAAAUCUGUAGAUAUCUGGAAGAACACCGGUGGCGAAGGCGAGCUCCUAGCCAUAGACUGACGCUGAGGCACGAAAGCGUAGGGAGCGAACA